GAUGAACGCUGGCGGCGUGCCUAAUACAUGCAAGUCGAGCGAACGGACGAGAAGCUUGCUUUUCUGAUGUUAGCGGCGGACGGGUGAGUAACACGUGGAUAACCUACCUAUAAGACUGGGAUAACUUCGGGAAACCGGAGCUAAUACCGGAUAAUAUUUUGAACCGCAUGGUUCAAAAGUGAAAGACGGUCUUGCUGUCACUUAUAGAUGGAUCCGCGCUGCAUUAGCUAGUUGGUAAGGUAACGGCUUACCAAGGCAACGAUGCAUAGCCGACCUGAGAGGGUGAUCGGCCACACUGGAACUGAGACACGGUCCAGACUCCUACGGGAGGCAGCAGUAGGGAAUCUUCCGCAAUAGGCGAAAGCCUGACGGAGCAACGCCGCGUGAGUGAUGAAGGUCUUCGGAUCGUAAAACUCUGUUAUUAGGGAAGAACAUAUGUGUAAGUAACUGUGCACAUCUUGACGGUACCUAAUCAGAAAGCCACGGCUAACUACGUGC
RNAcentral lists this ribosomal RNA (498 nucleotides) under uncultured bacterium. RNAcentral describes it as "partial 16S ribosomal RNA". It matches the Rfam family "Bacterial small subunit ribosomal RNA", at positions 28 to 508 of the family's 1533-position model. The record is from RNAcentral.